UGAGUUCACUAGACAGUCGCCGCUUAAUGAUAUCUUCUGAGGAGGGGACAAGUUAAGGGGAGGAAAGUCCGGGCUCCGCAAGGCGGGGUGCCAGGUAACACCUGGGAGGCGUAAGCCUACGACUAGUGCAACAGAAAAUAAACCGCCAAUGAUCUCGCUCAACCGAGAUCAGGUAAGGGUGAAAAGGUGCGGUAAAAGCGCACCGCGCGACUGGCAACAGUUCGCGGCACGGUAAACUCCACCCGGAGCAAAGCCAAAUAGGGAUUCACAUAGUACUGCCCGUACUGAAUCCGGGUAGGCUGCUUGAGCCAGCAAGCGAUUGCUGGCCUAGACGAAUGACUGUCCACGACAGAACCCGGCUUAUCGGUGAACUCUCCAA
This 379-nucleotide RNase P RNA is filed under the name Serratia symbiotica. RNAcentral's name for it is "RNase P, M1 RNA component". It matches the Rfam family "Bacterial RNase P class A". From Rfam's summary of the family: Ribonuclease P (RNase P) is a ubiquitous endoribonuclease, found in archaea, bacteria and eukarya as well as chloroplasts and mitochondria. Its best characterised activity is the generation of mature 5'-ends of tRNAs by cleaving the 5'-leader elements of precursor-tRNAs. Cellular RNase Ps are ribonucleoproteins. Lineage: Bacteria; Pseudomonadati; Pseudomonadota; Gammaproteobacteria; Enterobacterales; Yersiniaceae. The record is from RNAcentral.